UCCCUUAGAUGUUCUGGGCCGCACGCGCGCUACACUGUUCGACGCAGCGAGUCUUAACCUUGACCGAAAGGUUUGGGUAAUCUUCAGCAAAGUCGAACGUGAUGGGGAUCGAUCAUUGCAAUUAUUGAUCGUGAACGAGGAAUUCCUAGUAAGUGCAAGUCAUCAGCUUGCGCUGAUUACGUCCCUGCCCUUUGUACACACCGCCCGUCGCUACUACCGAUUGAAUGGUUUAGUGAGAUCUCUGGAUUGACGCUGGCUAGGGGGCGACCCUUGGCCAGACUGUUGAGAAACUGCUCAAACUUGAUCAUUUAGAGGAAGUAAAAGUCGUAACA
Molecule: ribosomal RNA, 332 nt
Filed under: uncultured eukaryote
Lineage: Eukaryota
Description: partial 18S ribosomal RNA
Rfam family: Eukaryotic small subunit ribosomal RNA
Source: RNAcentral